CUUCCAUUGGCUGUCAACAGCCUUUAGAAACUUGUUUCAUGUGUCUCCUGUUACUGGGCAGAGAAUAGAAGCUCAGUCUAUCAGUGGACUGCCUGGGACCAGUGAGUUGUUUACUGUGCGGGCACGUUUGGCGCCCUGCUCCUUCUUUUUCUUCUGUAAUGAAUACGCUAUUGUCCGGUUGGAAUAUUAUCGACGUUUUAUGUUAAAAAGACCCUAAGGAUUGAUUGUAAACAUCGCUUGACAUGUUUCUACGAACGAUGCAAAUGUGAAUGGCCUGGCAACACCACUACUAAUUGCAUCACAAGAGGGGCAUGAGUGCUAUGUGGUGGUACCCCUGAGGCAUGGUGUCAACCCAAACCUGCCCUGUGACAUCAGCUGGCCACAGCUUUCUAUCCACGCAUUCUAUCCGGCCAUAGCAGUGUCCUGGCUAGGCUGAUUGCUGUGACGGACCAUGUGUGUGACCGUGGAGAUAUGGG
RNAcentral lists this long non-coding RNA (476 nucleotides) under Salmo salar (Atlantic salmon). RNAcentral describes it as "lncRNA (ENSSSAG00000096012.1)". The record is from RNAcentral. Lineage: Eukaryota; Metazoa; Chordata; Actinopteri; Salmoniformes; Salmonidae.